GGGGAUUUAGCUCAGUAGCAUAAGCGCCUGCCUGGCAAGCACGAGGUCAUGAAGUUCAAUCCCCG
RNAcentral lists this transfer RNA (65 nucleotides) under Cavia porcellus (domestic guinea pig). It matches the Rfam family "tRNA". Rfam says of the family: Transfer RNA (tRNA) molecules are approximately 80 nucleotides in length. Lineage: Eukaryota; Metazoa; Chordata; Mammalia; Rodentia; Caviidae. The record is from Rfam by way of RNAcentral.